This 472-nucleotide ribosomal RNA is filed under the name uncultured bacterium. Its description in RNAcentral is "partial 16S ribosomal RNA". It matches the Rfam family "Bacterial small subunit ribosomal RNA", at positions 28 to 507 of the family's 1533-position model. The record is from RNAcentral.
GACGAACGCUGGCGGCGUGCUUAACACAUGCAAGUCGAACGCUGAAGCUUGGUGCUUGCACUGGGUGGAUGAGUGGCGAACGGGUGAGUAAUACGUGAGUAACCUGCCCUUGACUCUGGGAUAAGCCUGGGAAACUGGGUCUAAUACUGGAUACGACAUGCCACUGCAUGGUGGUGUGUGGAAAGGGUUUUACUGGUUUUGGAUGGGCUCACGGCCUAUCAGCUUGUUGGUGGGGUAAUGGCCUACCAAGUCGACGACGGGUAGCCGGCCUGAGAGGGUGAACGGCCACACUGGGACUGAGACACGGCCCAGACUCCUACGGGAGGCAGCAGUGGGGAAUAUUGCACAAUGGGCGGACGCCUGAUGCAGCGACGCCGCGUGAGGGAUGACGGCCUUCGGGUGGUAAACCUCUUUCAGCACGGAAGAAGCGAGAGUGACGGUACGUGCAGAAGAAGCGCCGGCUAACUACGUG